AUUGAACGCUGGCGGCAUGCCUUACACAUGCAAGUCGAACGGCAGCACGGGUGCUUGCACCUGGUGGCGAGUGGCGAACGGGUGAGUAAUACAUCGGAGCAUGUCCUGUAGUGGGGGAUAGCCCGGCGAAAGCCGGAUUAAUACCGCAUACGAUCCACGGAUGAAAGCGGGGGACCUUCGGGCCUCGCGCUAUAGGGUUGGCCGAUGGCUGAUUAGCUAGUUGGUGGGGUAAAGGCCUACCAAGGCGACGAUCAGUAGCUGGUCUGAGAGGACGACCAGCCACACUGGGACUGAGACACGGCCCAGACUCCUACGGGAGGCAGCAGUGGGGAAUUUUGGACAAAGGGCGAAAGCCUGAUCCAGCAAUGCCGCGUGUGUGAAGAAGGCCUUCGGGUUGUAAAGCACUUUUGUCCGGAAAGGAAUCCUUGACUCUAAUACAGUCGGGGGAUGACGGUACCGGAAGAAUAAGCACCGGCUAACUACGUG
Molecule: ribosomal RNA, 486 nt
Filed under: uncultured bacterium
Lineage: Bacteria
Description: partial 16S ribosomal RNA
Rfam family: Bacterial small subunit ribosomal RNA
Source: RNAcentral